GAUGAACGCUGGCGGCGUGCCUAAUACAUGCAAGUCGAGCGAACAGACGAGGAGCUUGCUCCUCUGACGUUAGCGGCGGACGGGUGAGUAACACGUGGAUAACCUACCUAUAAGACUGGGAUAACUUCGGGAAACCGGAGCUAAUACCGGAUAAUAUAUUGAACCGCAUGGUUCAAUAGUGAAAGACGGUUUUGCUGUCACUUAUAGAUGGAUCCGCGCCGCAUUAGCUAGUUGGUAAGGUAACGGCUUACCAAGGCAACGAUGCGUAGCCGACCUGAGAGGGGGAUCGGCCACACUGGAACUGAGACACGUUCCAGACUCCUACGGGAGGCAGCAGUAGGGAAUCUUCCGCAAUGGGCGAAAGCUUGACGGAGCAACGCCGCGUGAGUGAUGAAGGUCUGCGGAUCGUAAAACUCUGUUAUUAGGGAAGAACAAAUGUGUAAGUAACUAUGCACGUCUUGACGGUACCGAAGCAGAAAGCCACGGCUAACUACGU
Molecule: ribosomal RNA, 496 nt
Filed under: uncultured bacterium
Lineage: Bacteria
Description: partial 16S ribosomal RNA
Rfam family: Bacterial small subunit ribosomal RNA
Source: RNAcentral